GGUGACAAUGGCGGAGGGGAAACACCCGUUCCCAUCCCGAACACGGCAGUUAAGCCUUCCCGCGCCGAUGGUACUGCAGGUUUCUGUGGGAGAGCAGGUCGUUGCCAAGA
This 110-nucleotide ribosomal RNA is filed under the name Syntrophomonadaceae bacterium. Lineage: Bacteria; Bacillati; Bacillota; Clostridia; Eubacteriales; Syntrophomonadaceae. The record is from RNAcentral.